RNAcentral lists this ribosomal RNA (403 nucleotides) under uncultured bacterium. Its description in RNAcentral is "partial 16S ribosomal RNA". It matches the Rfam family "Bacterial small subunit ribosomal RNA", at positions 30 to 526 of the family's 1533-position model. The record is from RNAcentral.
AUUGAACGCUGGCGGCAGGCCUAACACAUGCAAGUCGAGCGAUCGGCGGCCGGGUGAGUAAUGUAUGGGGACUGCCCGAUAGAGGGGGGUAACUACUUGAAAAGGUAGCUCAUUCCGCAUACUAUCGGAUAACCCAUCGGGGGUUGGCUCGUGGGUGAGGUAAUGGCUCACCAAGGCGACGAUCCCUCGCUGGUCUGAGAGGAUGAUCAGCCACACUGCGACUGAGACACGGCCCAGACUCCUACGGAGGCAGCAGUGGGGAAGUUUGCACAAUGGGCGCAAGCCUGAUGCAGCCAUGCCGCGUGUAUGAAGAAGGCCCUAGGGUUGUAAAGUACUUUCAGUCGGGAGGCGUUACCGACAGAAGAAGCACCGGCUAACUCCGUGCCAGCAGCCGCGGUAAUAC